Molecule: transfer RNA, 73 nt
Filed under: Ailuropoda melanoleuca (giant panda)
Lineage: Eukaryota; Metazoa; Chordata; Mammalia; Carnivora; Ursidae
Rfam family: tRNA
About the family: Transfer RNA (tRNA) molecules are approximately 80 nucleotides in length. Their secondary structure includes four short double-helical elements and three loops (D, anti-codon, and T loops). Further hydrogen bonds mediate the characteristic L-shaped molecular structure. tRNAs have two regions of fundamental functional importance: the anti-codon, which is responsible for specific mRNA codon recognition, and the 3' end, to which the tRNAs corresponding amino acid is attached (by aminoacyl-tRNA synthetases). tRNAs cope with the degeneracy of the genetic code in two manners: having more than one tRNA (with a specific anti-codon) for a particular amino acid; and 'wobble' base-pairing, i.e. permitting non-standard base-pairing at the 3rd anti-codon position.
Source: Rfam by way of RNAcentral
GCCUGGCUGGCUCAGUUGGUGGAGCACAUGACUCCUGAUCUUGGGGUUGUGAGUUCGAGCCCCACGUUGAGCA